ACAAAUGAAUUUACUCAGCUUGUGUGGAUUCUCAUUCUCCAGAGACAGAACGACCAAACGUAGCAUGACCUGGUAGGAAGAACGUGAAACCUUGGAUCGGAGAGACCUGGAUUCCAGCCCUUGCUCUCCAACUUAAUAUUGAACAGUUUCUUCCAGCCUCCACACUAUCAGAUUAACCCUGAACU
Long non-coding RNA from Equus quagga, 185 nucleotides. RefSeq lists it as uncharacterized. The record is from RefSeq and is a predicted model, not a curated record. Lineage: Eukaryota; Metazoa; Chordata; Mammalia; Perissodactyla; Equidae. The transcript has 3 exons.